This 200-nucleotide unclassified non-coding RNA is filed under the name soil metagenome. RNAcentral's name for it is "partial contains internal transcribed spacer 2 and large subunit ribosomal RNA". The record is from RNAcentral.
UCGAGCGUCAUUUCAACCCUCAAGCUCUGCUUGGUCUUGGGCCUUGCCGGCAACGGCUGGCCUUAAAAUCAGUGGCGGUGCCAUCGAGCUCUACGCGUAGUAAUUAAACCCUCGCUUCUGAGUCUCGGUGGACGCUUGCCAGCAACCUCUAAAUUUUUAUGGUUGACCUCGGAUCAGGUAGGGAUACCCGCUGAACUUAA